AAAGAAGACACAGAAGCACCAUGGGCAAACCAUGGAACAAGAACUGGAAUGAAUAUCUAUUCCACUACCUGAACUAAAGACUGCAGACGGAGAAAGGGAAGACAGGGGUUUAACUGGCAAUUCAAAGUGAGGUGAUCAGCCUUCUGUUACAGAGUUAACUGUGUGUGAAAGAAUGUAAGAUUCAUGUAUACAUCUGACAGUGACAGCUGUAUGGCCACAGCUUCACAUGUAAGAGAAACCCAU
This 243-nucleotide long non-coding RNA is filed under the name Homo sapiens (human). Its description in RNAcentral is "HSALNT0373646". The record is from RNAcentral. Lineage: Eukaryota; Metazoa; Chordata; Mammalia; Primates; Hominidae.